RNAcentral lists this long non-coding RNA (378 nucleotides) under Manacus vitellinus (golden-collared manakin). RNAcentral describes it as "lncRNA (ENSMVIG00005014732.1)". The record is from RNAcentral. Lineage: Eukaryota; Metazoa; Chordata; Aves; Passeriformes; Pipridae.
CCCUCAUGUGUAGUCUUUGGAAGCUCUAGAGAUCUUGAUUUUUAUAUGUUGUCUUCUUUCCAAAGCUUUUAAAUACUGAGAACCAUAGUCCUGCAGAAUGUGUAUUACUGGAUAUAUGCUACAUCAGACGUCUGUGCAGCUUUUUACUUUGGGAGGCAGAGGCUGGGGCCAGAGGAACUGUGGGUUCACAGCAUGUUACAGACGUCAUGUAAGGAAAGAAGGAGCAGGCAGAUAGAGGAUCUGCUGAGAACAAUUUUCCUUGUACAUGUGUUCCCAUCCCUCUCUGGGAAGCUUCUCCCAGUGCAAACUUCUCCUGAUGCAUGUGUACAUGACACUCUGCUGAGGAAUACUGGAAAUCCUGUCGCACCAAAGAGCUGA